This 238-nucleotide ribosomal RNA is filed under the name uncultured bacterium. RNAcentral describes it as "partial 16S ribosomal RNA". It matches the Rfam family "Bacterial small subunit ribosomal RNA", at positions 15 to 244 of the family's 1533-position model. The record is from RNAcentral.
GAUCCUGGCUCAGGAUGAACGCUAGCGGCAGGCCUAACACAUGCGAGUCGAGGGGCAGCACGUUAAAGAGUUUACUCUUUAUGGUGGCGACCGGCGGACGGGUGCGUAACGCGUAUGCAACCUGCCUGACACAGGGGGAUAAUCCGAAGAAAUUUGGUCUAAUACCCCAUAAUACCGAUAUAGGCAUCUAUGUUUGUUGAAAGCUUUGGUGGUGUCAGAUGGGCAUGCGUUGUAUUAG